This 391-nucleotide unclassified non-coding RNA is filed under the name Catasetum meeae. RNAcentral's name for it is "partial external transcribed spacer". The record is from RNAcentral. Lineage: Eukaryota; Viridiplantae; Streptophyta; Magnoliopsida; Asparagales; Orchidaceae.
GUCUUUUCCUUCAUCGCUCCUGAUGUUAUUUUGGAGAUCGAUUUUUGAUCUAUAAUAGUUGCUUGCAUUGGGAAUCCUUACGUGGGUGGUAUUAAUUUUUGUGGAUGCCUNGUGGAUAAGCCUCUAUGCCUGCCUCCAAGGCAUGGAGGCNGCCCUCUGAGAAUGAGACCCUUCCACCCUUUGCUUCGGGNGAUGUUGCAUGAUAUUCUCGUUUUGUUGGGUGGUGGGAUGAGGGUCUCRGUAUAUUGUCGCAAAUGUGGCUCUUCGAAAUUGGGUCUUGGUGUUAUGGCACCAUGCUCGAGUUGAUUUAUCCAAGCGAUAGUGCCUUUCGCCUCUGUGCGACUUUGGUUCUCUCCCCUCCUGCCAUAUGACAUGUAUGGUUGCAGAGGGG